GUAAACCUACGGGAGGCAGCAGUGGGGAAUAUUGGACAAUGGGGGGAACCCUGAUCCAGCGACGCCGCGUGAGUGAAGAAGUACUUCGGUAUGUAAAUCUCUAUCAGCAGGGAAGAAAAUGACGGUACCUGACUAAGAAGCCCCGGCUAACUACGUGCCAGCAGCCGCGGUAAUACGUAGGGGGCAAGCGUUAUCCGGAUUUACUGGGUGUAAAGGGAGCGUAGACGGUGCAGCAAGUCUGAUGUGAAAGGUCGGGGCCCAACCCCGGGACUGCAUUGGAAACUGUUGAACUGGCGUACAGGAGG
This 305-nucleotide ribosomal RNA is filed under the name uncultured bacterium. Its description in RNAcentral is "bacterial SSU rRNA". It matches the Rfam family "Bacterial small subunit ribosomal RNA", at positions 333 to 655 of the family's 1533-position model. The record is from RNAcentral.